RNAcentral lists this unclassified non-coding RNA (462 nucleotides) under Hevea brasiliensis (rubber tree). The record is from RNAcentral. Lineage: Eukaryota; Viridiplantae; Streptophyta; Magnoliopsida; Malpighiales; Euphorbiaceae.
GUGAAAUGACCCCAUCCACUAGUGAAUAUGGAUCCAGCAUGAAGGGAAGGCAGCAGACGGGAACGGUGCUAUCCUAUGGUAGUUCUCAGAAUUCCAAUGUCCUCGAGGAAUUCUCAGAUAGCUUUGUGCACUGGGUAAACAAUGGAGAGACACUCUGCCAUUGAAGUUUAGCUCGCUUUGGCCCUGAAUCAAUAUUUAUUCCUUUCCCCAAGUGAUCCGACCUGCUCUAAAGAUGCUGAAUAUAUUGAUAUAGAGAGAGGUGACAAGGACGGAGAUGGCCGGACCAAAGGGAGAAAAGAGAGGCAGGUGUUUUGGCUGUCCCUAACAAUGCAUCCAAGAAGAAAUUCUCCCAUCCCCGUGACUUACAUCGUUGAUUCCAUCGUGGAAACCUCGAUGGAACCUGAUACCAAAAGUACAGAGAGUAAAUAGCUAACAGUUAAAAAAAAAAAAAAAAAAAAAAAA